RNAcentral lists this transfer RNA (76 nucleotides) under Candidatus Aerophobetes bacterium Ae_b3b. RNAcentral's name for it is "tRNA-Thr". It matches the Rfam family "tRNA". From Rfam's summary of the family: Transfer RNA (tRNA) molecules are approximately 80 nucleotides in length. Their secondary structure includes four short double-helical elements and three loops (D, anti-codon, and T loops). Lineage: Bacteria; Candidatus Aerophobota. The record is from RNAcentral. RNAcentral also lists the same sequence under 2 other names.
GCCCAUGUAGCUCAGGCGGAAGAGCACAUCCUUGGUAAGGAUGAGGUCACCGGUUCGAACCCGGUCAUGGGCUCCA